Molecule: ribosomal RNA, 429 nt
Filed under: Pseudomonadota bacterium
Lineage: Bacteria; Pseudomonadati; Pseudomonadota
Description: Proteobacteria bacterium partial 16S ribosomal RNA
Rfam family: Bacterial small subunit ribosomal RNA
Source: RNAcentral
UGGGGAAUAUUGGACAAUGGGCGAAAGCCUGAUCCAGCCAUGCCGCGUGUGUGAAGAAGGUCUUCGGAUUGUAAAGCACUUUAAGUUGGGAGGAAGGGCAGUAAGCGAAUACCUUGCUGUUUUGACGUUACCGACAGAAUAAGCACCGGCUAACUCUGUGCCAGCAGCCGCGGUAAUACAGAGGGUGCAAGCGUUAAUCGGAAUUACUGGGCGUAAAGCGCGCGUAGGUGGUUCGUUAAGUUGAAUGUGAAAGCCCCGGGCUCAACCUACGAACUGCCUCCAAAACUGGCGAGCUAGAGUAGGGCCGAGGGGGGUGGGAUUUCCUGUGUAGCGGUGACAUGCGUAGAAAUAGGAAAGAAAACCAGUGGCGAAGGCGACCACCUGGGCUCAUACUGACACUGAGGUGCGAAAGCGUGGGGAGCAAACAGG